Long non-coding RNA from Ictalurus punctatus (channel catfish), 1961 nucleotides. The record is from Ensembl. Lineage: Eukaryota; Metazoa; Chordata; Actinopteri; Siluriformes; Ictaluridae.
CACUGGGUUAAGAUUACUUUUUCUGAGAAUUGUUGUAACAUUUUGAGCGGUGGCACUACACAUGGGAAAAACAACAACUCAUCCCAUUUGGAGUAAUAAUAAAUGAAAAACAGCAGUUACUCAUUUUGCUAGUAAUGGGCCCACAAUGUCAACUCCCAGCAUUUCAUUUGGACUGGUGGUGGUAACUGAUUGGAGGUUCCCCUCAGAUUUCUGGUUAUCAUACCUCAGGGUUUGACAUUUCACGCAACUCCUUAUAUGGUGUUUUACAUCCGUACAUAUUCCUGGCCAAAGCGCUACUUCCUGAAGCCGCUUAUGUGUUUUAUAGAUCCCUCUGUGGCCACUUAGGGGGUGAGAAUGAUAAUGCUGCAGGACGGUUAGCCUGAAACUGCUGGGAACACACAAAAUGUAUUUGACCAUUCAUUAGUCUCCAAACGCAUCGGAUGAGGAGGCUGUUGGUUUUGGUGGAUCCCAUGACCCAUUGCAGAGUGGAAUGGUCAGUGACAACCAUGAAGAGCUUAUUUUCAAGUUAAUAUUGCCAUUUUUCCAAUGGCCAUACAACUGCCAGACACUCUUUUUUGGUUGCAGUGUAGUUGUUUUCUGCCCCAGUUAAGGUUCUGCUGGCAUAUGCAGUAACUUCCUCUCUGCCUGGAUCUUUUUGCUGUAUGAGAAUGGGACCCAAUCCAGAGUCGCUGGCAUCUGUAUAUAUGAUAAAAGGGACCUGAAAAUCAGGGUGGCCGAGAAUAAGGGGUGAGAUGAGGCAUGCUUUCAACUGGUCAAAUGCUUGUUGACACAACGUCAUCCAUUUAAACACCCGUCCUUUCUUUUUCAGUGAGUUGAGGCACUCAGCAAUUUUAGAAAAGUUUGGCACAAAUCAGUGGUACCAACCAGCUAAUUCCAGAAAAUGCUGAACUUCCUUCAAAUUGCUGGGAAUGACCUCAACUUUACUUGGAUCAGCCAUGAUGCCUUUAGUGCUUACCACAUGACCCAGAAAAGUGAUUUCUGGAAGACAAAUCUUGCACCUUCAAAUUUAUAGUCAAACUAGUGCCUUCCAGUCUGUGGAUGACAGUUUGAAGGUGAUGGAAAUGCUGGGUCACUGUAGGUGAAUAAAUGAAGAUGAUGUUGUCUAUGUAGACAAAGCAAAUCUUCCUUCUUAGCUUCCCCAGGACUGUCUCCUUCAGCCACUGGAAGGUAGCAGGUGCAUUUUUUAACCAAAUGGCAUAACAUUGAAGUGAUAUAAGCCUGCACUCACGAUGAAAGCAGUUUGGGCUUUACUCUCAAGGUCCAUUGUCACUUGCCCAUACCCUCUGUUGUGGUCUAUGGUGGAGAAAAUGGAUGGAUGCCCCGGAGAGUGAUUGUAGGAUCUCAGUGAUAUUUCGAGAGGAUGAGCAUUAUUUUCUGUAAUUGCAUUGACUUUACGAUAGUCUACCCAGAACCAAAUCUUUCUUUGGUGCCAUGACUACCGGUGAGGCCCAACCAGUAUGUGAUGGCUCUACAAUUCCUUCUCUUAACACUGUCCCCAGCUGUUCUCCCAUUGCUUGUUGUUUUACAGGGGACAACCAAUAUGGCUGUUGCUUGAUUGGUAUUUGGCAGGUGGUGUAGAUACGAUGCUGCGGGACAUCCAUUCUUCCAGGUCGCAGAUUGUCCUAGUUACCUUGUUGGAAGGAAGGAUGCUGGGCAGAUCAUGCUGAGCGAUUGAAGAAAGAGAUGAGACUUCAAUGAACGUACAGAGUUUCAUGUGGUCAGGUUCUGGGGCCCAAGUGAGAGUUUGCACUGGGGUGUUGUCUCCUCCUAGAGCAGGGGACUGCAUCUGCACUUGGGUUCCAGGAUAGAUGGAGCUGUGGACUUAAAUGGUUUACAUUUUACACAUUUUCCAAAAUUCAUAAAAAUGUUCUCUCUAUACUUACAUGUACAUUCAAAUGGUAUUGUUUUUUCUUUUCUGCUCUGCUCAAGUUCAAUGUUCA